CCUACGGGAUGCAGCAGUGAGGAAUAUUGGUCAAUGGGCGGAAGCCUGAACCAGCCAAGUAGCGUGCGGGAUGAAGGCACUACGGGUCGUAAACCGCUUUUGCACGGGGAUAACACCCUCCACUUGUGGAGGUCUGCAGGUACCGUGCGAAUAAGGGCCGGCUAAUUCAGUGCCAGCAGCCGAUGUAAUACGGAAGGACCGAGCGUUAUCCGGAUUCAUUGGGCGUCAAGGGAGCGUCGGCGGGAGUUCAAGGCAUCUGUAAACUCGGGCGGCUCAACCGCUCCCCGCAUUUGAAACUGGACGCCUUGAGUGCACAACAGGCAGUCGGAAUUCGUGGGGUAGCGGUGAAAUGCAUAGCUAUCACGAUGAACCCCGAUUGCUAAGGCAGCCUGCCGGGUUGCGACUGACGCUGAGGCUCGAAGGUGCGGGUAUCAAACAGGAUUAGAUACCCGAGUAGUC
This 459-nucleotide ribosomal RNA is filed under the name uncultured bacterium. RNAcentral describes it as "partial 16S ribosomal RNA". It matches the Rfam family "Bacterial small subunit ribosomal RNA", at positions 338 to 795 of the family's 1533-position model. The record is from RNAcentral.